GGUGGGCAUAUCUCAUGGUUCGGAUCCUGCAUUGAGCUGUUGUUUUUAUUUUUAUUUUUAAAAUCAUGUAUGUCUAUAUUAAAUGUGUUUUUUAGAUCCAAACCAUGAGAUAUGCCCAC
Molecule: non-coding RNA, 119 nt
Organism: Pelobates cultripes (western spadefoot toad)
Lineage: Eukaryota; Metazoa; Chordata; Amphibia; Anura; Pelobatidae
Source: the annotation of a GenBank genome assembly